This 196-nucleotide ribosomal RNA is filed under the name uncultured bacterium. RNAcentral's name for it is "partial 16S ribosomal RNA". It matches the Rfam family "Bacterial small subunit ribosomal RNA", at positions 337 to 525 of the family's 1533-position model. The record is from RNAcentral.
UCCUACGGGAGGCAGCAGUGGGGAAUAUUGCACAAUGGGCGCAAGCCUGAUGCAGCCAUGCCGCGUGUGUGAAGAAGGCCUUCGGGUUGUAAAGCACUUUCAGCGAGGAGGAAGGUGGUGAACUUAAUACGUUCAUCAAUUGACGUUACUCGCAGAAGAAGCACCGGCUAACUCCGUGCCAGCACCCGCGGUAAUA